RNAcentral lists this long non-coding RNA (422 nucleotides) under Ananas comosus (pineapple). Its description in RNAcentral is "long non-coding RNA (ACOM_LNC012792)". Lineage: Eukaryota; Viridiplantae; Streptophyta; Magnoliopsida; Poales; Bromeliaceae. The record is from RNAcentral.
UAUAUAGGUUGUGUUUUGCGUUUAUCGAUACCUAGUUUAAUUUAGAAAAAUUUUAAAUACUAUUCCUGUGGUUUCAUACUUUCUCACAUUAGUGCCCUAUGAUUUAAAGUGUAUUAAUUUAGUGCCCUGCGAUUUUUUUUUUAAUUAUCGAUUCUACUAAUUUUUUUCGUUAAAUUAGUGACAAAGUUAAAAUUAAAGAGUAUUAAAGUGAAUAUUUGAUAAACAUAGGUGGGGUAUCUGAAGUAUUUUGUAUAUAAUUUAACAAAAUAUUAGCGAAAAAACCGACAAAAAAAUAAAAAUGAAACCAUAGAAUACUAAUUUGAUAUACUGUACACCAUAGAGUAUUAAAAUAAAAAAAUACGAAAUCACAGGAAUGGUAUUUAAAGUUUAUCCUUUAAUUUAGGGGUACUGUGGAUGUAGAG